RNAcentral lists this microRNA precursor (73 nucleotides) under Myotis brandtii (Brandt's bat). Its description in RNAcentral is "mir-9193 microRNA precursor family". It matches the Rfam family "mir-9193 microRNA precursor family". The record is from Rfam by way of RNAcentral. Lineage: Eukaryota; Metazoa; Chordata; Mammalia; Chiroptera; Vespertilionidae.
CUCGGGGGAGGGGUGUCCCUCAGCCUGGAUUGCAAGAGUCUGCAGGCUGGCUGAGGGACCCCACCUGUGCACA